AACGAACGCUGGCGGCAUGCCUAACACAUGCAAGUCGAACGAGACCUUCGGGUCUAGUGGCGCACGGGUGCGUAACGCGUGGGAACCUGCCUUUAGGUUCGGAAUAACUCAGAGAAAUUUGAGCUAAUACCGGAUAAUGUCUUCGGACCAAAGAUUUAUCGCCUUUAGAUGGGCCCGCGUAAGAUUAGCUAGUUGGUGGGUAAAGGCCUACCAAGGCGACGAUCUUUAGCUGGUCUGAGAGGAUGAUCAGCCACACUGGGACUGAGACACGGCCCAGACUCCUACGGGAGGCAGCAGUGGGGAAUAUUGGACAAUGGGCGAAAGCCUGAUCCAGCAAUGCCGCGUGAGUGAUGAAGGCCUUAGGGUUGUAAAGCUCUUUUACCCGAGAUGAUAAUGACAGUAUCGGGAGAAUAAGCUCCGGCUAACUCCGUGCCAGCAGCCGC
RNAcentral lists this ribosomal RNA (443 nucleotides) under uncultured bacterium. RNAcentral's name for it is "bacterial SSU rRNA". It matches the Rfam family "Bacterial small subunit ribosomal RNA", at positions 29 to 518 of the family's 1533-position model. The record is from RNAcentral.